This 465-nucleotide ribosomal RNA is filed under the name Vreelandella stevensii. RNAcentral describes it as "partial 16S ribosomal RNA". It matches the Rfam family "Bacterial small subunit ribosomal RNA", at positions 338 to 795 of the family's 1533-position model. The record is from RNAcentral. Lineage: Bacteria; Pseudomonadati; Pseudomonadota; Gammaproteobacteria; Oceanospirillales; Halomonadaceae.
CCUACGGGAGGCAGCAGUGGGGAAUAUUGGACAAUGGGGGGAACCCUGAUCCAGCCAUGCCGCGUGUGUGAAGAAGGCCCUCGGGUUGUAAAGCACUUUCAGUGAGGAAGAACGCCUGGUGGUUAAUACCCAUCAGGAAAGACAUCACUCACAGAAGAAGCACCGGCUAACUCCGUGCCAGCAGCCGCGGUAAUACGGAGGGUGCGAGCGUUAAUCGGAAUUACUGGGCGUAAAGCGCGCGUAGGUGGCUUGAUAAGCCGGUUGUGAAAGCCCCGGGCUCAACCUGGGAACGGCAUCCGGAACUGUCAAGCUAGAGUGCAGGAGAGGAAGGUAGAAUUCCCGGUGUAGCGGUGAAAUGCGUAGAGAUCGGGAGGAAUACCAGUGGCGAGGGCGGCCUUCUGGACUGACACUGACACUGAGGUGCGAAAGCGUGGGUAGCAAACAGGAUUAGAUACCCUUGUAGUC